Long non-coding RNA from Micropterus salmoides (largemouth bass), 180 nucleotides. RefSeq lists it as uncharacterized. The record is from RefSeq and is a predicted model, not a curated record. The transcript is spliced from 3 exons. NCBI's taxonomy places the organism in Eukaryota, Metazoa, Chordata, Actinopteri, Centrarchiformes, Centrarchidae.
UUCCAGGUUUUACAGCCACAACAACAACCAAUGAUCCUUCAACAAAACCACAAGGUUGGUUGUGGCUCAUCAAGGUGUUUCUGGGAGUUGCAGCUCUCUUAAUAACUGUUGUUAUUGUUGUUGCUCUCAUCAGAUGGAAGAAAACUAAAGGAAAAAAACCCCAGAUGGAUGAAAACACUG